AACGGAACGUUUGGACAUUGUUUGAUCGAAAUAUGAAAGGAGGAACUAUUCGUACUGUGGCACUGCGAUUUAGUUUCUCCCAUGCCCCAGACACCCGACAGCAACACACAACACGGA
Molecule: long non-coding RNA, 117 nt
Organism: Habropoda laboriosa
Lineage: Eukaryota; Metazoa; Arthropoda; Insecta; Hymenoptera; Apidae
Exons: 3
Source: RefSeq, a predicted model, not a curated record